CUACGUGAUUAAGAGUUUCCUAACCCUAAUGGACUCUGGUUUUCCUUGUUGUACAGUGAAUCAAAAAAUGUAGGCGAGCAUAUAUACGAGAGCAGCACGGGAUCGUGAUUAGUAGAAUCCGUUGGAUUCUGACUUCGCAAGGAAACGUGUAAAAGACUUGUUCCAUAAGUCUAGAUAUGUCGUAAUAUAAGAAGGGAAGUUUCCUUGUGUUUUAAUUCUUUAUUUUAUCAUUAAUUAAUUAAUAAUGGGAAUUAUCUUUAUACAAGCAUAAUUAUCUUU
This 279-nucleotide long non-coding RNA is filed under the name Erythranthe guttata (spotted monkey flower). RNAcentral's name for it is "long non-coding RNA (EGUT_LNC002778)". Lineage: Eukaryota; Viridiplantae; Streptophyta; Magnoliopsida; Lamiales; Phrymaceae. The record is from RNAcentral.